GUGUUCACUUUGGCAGCACAUAUGCUGACCUUGGAAUGAUACAGAGAUUAGCAUGGGCCUCCACAAGGAUGACACACACAUUUGUGAUGAUAUAUAUCUAUAU
Molecule: small nuclear RNA, 103 nt
Organism: Erinaceus europaeus (western European hedgehog)
Lineage: Eukaryota; Metazoa; Chordata; Mammalia; Eulipotyphla; Erinaceidae
Source: Ensembl